Long non-coding RNA from Zingiber officinale, 1036 nucleotides. RefSeq lists it as uncharacterized. The record is from RefSeq and is a predicted model, not a curated record. The transcript has 4 exons. Lineage: Eukaryota; Viridiplantae; Streptophyta; Magnoliopsida; Zingiberales; Zingiberaceae.
GCCCUAAUCUCACGCCGACCACUCCAUUUCCCUUCCUCGCUCUUGCUCUUUGUCGCCGAGAUCUCAUUGCCGCCCCUCACUCUCCUUAUUCUCAUCCGCCACCUCCUCUUUUCCUCCUCUUGUGUCUCUGCUCGACGCUGUGGGCCAUCACAGUGACACCCGACCGGCGAUACCACAGCCGUCAUCAUCGUGAGGAGUCGACGAUGCAGACCCUUCUAUCGCGUUGCCUCAUCGUUCCUCUCCUGGUCGGAGUCAUCUGGAACUUGUCGGAGCUUGAGCGAGGAGUCGUGGAUCUUCGAUUGCGUGCGGCCGACCUUCUCCUCCUUUGAGGAUGAUCCCGAUCAGGAGUCAGCCGGCGCGUUGGCUACCCACAGGUUCCGCCGAGUCGAGCCCUAAUUCGAGUCUACCUCACCGCAUUAGCACACCAGGUCAGUCGUCGUGCUUCCGACCAAGAGAAGGUGAUCCGAGCCCUAGUUGACGUUUCCCUGUCGGUGAUCUUCUUCCUCCCUCGUCAUAACCGGAGCAAGUAGGUCGUCGUGCCCUAACAACAAAGCUAUCUUCCCUUGGGUUGUGCCCUAAGUGAAGAUCCAUUGCCAGCAUCUCACAAAUCAGUCGAUCCUUCUUCUCCCGCGACAUUGUUUUGAGCAGAAGGCUUACUGUGUGACCUCCCAGUUGUUGCAACCCACUUUGGUCGUUGUUUCGGUUGCUGAGCCACUGUUGUCGACUCUCCAUUGCCUGUCGAUCUACUGUUGAAGCCAUGAUCGGUCACCGAGGAAGAGGAGCCCCACUUCCUCAAGAUUGAUUCGAGUUCUUCACCGAGCGGUUGGAAUUCUGAACUUGGAGACAACAAUCUCAUCUUCGCUGGUAGAGAGUUAUACCAGCUAUAAGUCAUUGGCGGAGCCAUCAAUUCCGGACUUGGAUUUUGGGACAAGUGUCUCGACAUGGGAACACUGGACACUGUCUACGUAUAAAGCCGGGUAGCAGGUAAAGGAUCUAUGGAGUCGCCUGGAGAUCCUGUCAGCCAGUUCCACGUCAC